This 614-nucleotide long non-coding RNA is filed under the name Micromonas commoda. RNAcentral describes it as "long non-coding RNA (MCOM_LNC000482)". Lineage: Eukaryota; Viridiplantae; Chlorophyta; Mamiellophyceae; Mamiellales; Mamiellaceae. The record is from RNAcentral.
ACGAUGCCGAUAUAAAGUUACUAGUCACAGAGCUCGAGAGUUGCGCUGCCGACGGUUGCCGUGGCUUCUCGAAGGAGCAACAAACUUUUUUCAGUAACGAACAGUUGCAGUGAGUAUGAGAUACUCUGGAGACAAGGCGGGCCUGUAGUUUGGUCAUGACCCUGAGCGAGAUACUCUGGAGACACGGCGGGCCUGUAGUUUGGCCAUGACCCUGAGCGAGAUACUCUGGAGACACGGCGGGCAUGUAGUUUGGCCAUGACCCUGAGCGAGAUACUCUGGAGACAAGGCGGGCCUGUAGUUUGGCCAUGACCCUGAGCGAGAUACUCUGGAGACACGGCGGGCAUGUAGUUUGGCCAUGACCCUGAGCGAGAUACUCUGGAGACAAGGCGGGCCUGUAGUUUGGCCAUGACCCUGAGCGAGAUACUCUGGAGACACGGCGGGCAUGUAGUUUGGCCAUGACCCUGAGCGAGAUACUCUGGAGACAAGGCGGGCCUGUAGUUUGGCCAUGACCCUGAGCACUUGCUAAUAAAGGGUUCCCCGUGCUUCAAUAGCUGUAGAUCACGAGGUGUUGGAUUUCUUGUGCGCGUUCUCUGCAGUAUCGUGUCGUUCUGCGC